RNAcentral lists this unclassified non-coding RNA (408 nucleotides) under soil metagenome. RNAcentral's name for it is "partial contains 5.8S ribosomal RNA, internal transcribed spacer 2, and large subunit ribosomal RNA". The stretch from base 1 to 120 matches the Rfam family "5.8S ribosomal RNA", at positions 35 to 154 of the family's 154-position model. The record is from RNAcentral.
GAUGAAGAACGUAGCGAAAUGCGAUAAGUAAUGUGAAUUGCAGAAUUCAGUGAAUCAUCGAAUCUUUGAACGCACCUUGCGCUCCUUGGCAUUCCGAGGAGCAUGCCUGUUUGAGUGUCAUUAAAUUCUCAAGACCUGUCUGCUUUUUUGAUAGGUAUUGGAUUUUGGGGGUUGCAGGCUGUUUCAAAUAAAUAGCCUUGCUCUCCUUGAAUGUAUUAGUGGAGAAAAGCCAUUGAACUCCAUUGGUGUGAUAAAACCUAUCAAUGCCAGGAGCAAUAUUACUACUUCUCUCUGCUGUCUAACUGUGACUGUCUGUAUUAAUUAGUAUGGAUGGGGACAACUUGACCAACUUGACCUCAAAUCAGGUAGGACUACCCGCUGAACUUAAGCAUAUCAAUAAGCGGAGGA